ACAAGCGGUGGAUGAUGUGGUUUAAUUCGAUGCAACGCGAAGAACCUUUACCUUGGUCUUGACAUCCACGGAAGUUUUCAGAGAUGAGAAUGUGCCUUCGGGAACCGUGAGACAGGUGCUGCAUGGCUGUCGUCAGCUCGUGUUGUGAAAUGUUGGGUUAAGUCCCGCAACGAGCGCAACCCUUAUCCUUUGUUGCCAGCGGUCCGGCCGGGAACUCAAAGGAGACUGCCAGUGAUAAACUGGAGGAAGGUGGGAUGACGUCAAGUCAUCAUGGCCCUUACGACCAGGGCUACACACGUGCUACAAUGGCGCAUACAAAGAGAAGCGACCUCGCGAGAGCAAGCGGACCUCAUAAAGUGCGUCGUAGUCCGGAUUGGAGUCUGCAACUCGACUCCAUGAAGUCGGAAUCGCUAGUAAUCGUGGAUCAGAAUGCCACGGUGAAUACGUUCCCGGGCCUU
Molecule: ribosomal RNA, 458 nt
Filed under: uncultured Enterobacteriaceae bacterium
Lineage: Bacteria; Pseudomonadati; Pseudomonadota; Gammaproteobacteria; Enterobacterales; Enterobacteriaceae
Description: bacterial SSU rRNA
Rfam family: Bacterial small subunit ribosomal RNA
Source: RNAcentral